GUUCCAAAGAGCUUAGGAUUUUUUUGCCUACUGUUUAUCGGGAUGAUCAAAAUCCUUUUUCAGAGUAAAAAGAGAUGCUAUAUUUAGGGAAGGGGGAAUAGAAAAAUGAGGUAUAGAAAACCAAAGAAUUAUCAUGGUAUAAAAUAAAAUCAGAGCUGGAAACUGACAAAAGAACAAUAACAGCAUUAGAUUAAAAAUAAAUAAAAAGGUAGAGCCAUAUAAAAUGAAUAUGAAUCUCUUUAGUCAAUAAACUGUGUCUUGUUUCGUUUUUGAGAAGCAUAAUAUUACCAAAACCAUAGUGAAAAUAAUGAGUACAGAAGGAUAUAUGGUAUAACCAGCUGUGGGAAUUUCUAGGCUGGCUUCUGUGCUAAUUAUUAAGUAUCCCAGCUCUCAUCCUAUAUUCAAACUAAGCAUCCAUAAACUCUUUCAGCAGGAUGAAACAUAGGAAGAUAUUCAAAUACCAAAGUAACUAUGGAAAUGGGAGGAACAAAGAAGAAUUCUUGAAAGUCUCUGAGUAAAGAUAAAAGCAAAACAGAAAAAAGAAGAUCUCACAGCAGGGGCCUGUGACAGCUCUUCAAAUCAGGAAGUCAGAGAAGAUGAAGUGGAGCAGAGCCAAAUCUCCACAUCCAGGGAGAUGGCCUGUAGAUUACAACUACCCUGUUGACUUUCAGGUACUCACACAGGAAAACAGAACUGGAAACAUAAAAACGUGUCUCCACCCUCUUCAAGUUAUGCCUUUGGAAUGGACCAUAAAACCGCAUUUCAAUUGUAAGUUGGCAUGUAAGUAAAUAAAACUUUUACAAGUAAUAUAAAUGAGUGUGUUGUCAAGAGGAUCCUAGGUAUGUAUAAAUCCUUUAAUUACAAUUUCUAGUGCUAAUGUUUAUCCUUUAAUUAGAGGUGUAUAGUAGGCUUCUUUGUGGGGGCAGAGGAGUAAACUGGAACCAUAUGGAUGCUGCCUCAUUUUCAUCUGAGCCCUUCCAGGGAUUGUAAACCUUAAAGUGGCAUUGGAACCCACUACUUUAGAAUCUGCUAAGAAAGGUGAGAACAGUAAGUCUUUGUGCAAAGGCUGAAUGUACAUAGGGAAGUGUAGCCCUAAAUCUGUUUGCUCCCACAUGUUUUUGCCCCGUUUUGCUUUGACUAAUUAUAUAAUCUGCGAUGUAAGAGAGCCAAGUGAUUUUACCUGUCUUGCUGAUUACACAGUUUGGAUUAGCCUUUUGGUAUGGGGUGGCUUUUAAUCGGCUUUAGAUUUGGAGCUAUAAACAAUAGGGCUUCCCUGAGAGAGAAAACUAUUGAGAAGACCAGAAAGAGAGAGAGACAGAAAGGACAGGAUUUGAUUUUGGUGAGGUAAAAACAACUCAGCCUCUGGGUAGGAAUUUUCGUUUGCUACUUAUUGGCUUUGUGCUUGGCAAGGUUUGAACUUCUCUGGAAUUGUUUCCUCAUCUACAAAAUGGGGAUAAUAACACCUUCCUAGCUAGGCAAUAAUGAGAUUUAGAGACAGUGUGUAUGAAGUGCCUGGCAUCUUGGAAGCCCAUGACAACUGUCUGAUAUAGUUAUUACAGGUUUUUUUUUUUUUAAUUGAAAGAGCUCAUCUUUCAGCAUUGUAAGCAGUCCUCAAAAAAACCAGGGUUCAGGGCAAAUGUGAUUACUGCUGAUGAUAACUUUUUUGGUGCCUUUUUCUUAUUUCCUUGCCCUUUUCAUGUCCCUUGUUUUCCUCUGAUUAAUGUUCCAAACUGACCCUUAUCAGCCUCUCUCCUUUUUUAUCAUACUUUCAGAAAAUUCAAAAUAAACUGCAGGGGCUGAUGAGACCAAAUAAUUGCAGACAGACUUUGUUUAGAAGUCAAAAAUCGCCUCUUUCCUUUGCCCUGACGACUUUUCUCCUUCUGGUCUUUUCUCUCCCUACAUGUCAGUAUUAAAAUGUAUUGUUAGAUCGACAGAUGCAUCACCUGACACUUUGGUGAGUGAAGACAUAGAUUUGGAUAAUAGACAUAGCUGAAACAUUUUCCUGGGGGUGUCCAGUUCUAUUAUUUACACAACCAUUGUUAUUCCAGAAAAUAACUGGUAGAUUCCUCCUCCAAACUGGUAAAGUUCUUAUAGAUGUGGACUAAGGAGCUGUUUUCCCAAGGGAUUCAUUAGAUUUUGAUUAGCCUCUAAUAUGUUUGUUCAAAAUGACAUGGAGGAUUUCCCCCAGGCCAGGCUGGGGUUGCCAGCUGUGACAGAGAUGGACAUUUAAUUUGUUUGUGAUUGGGUUGUCAAGGCUGGACAUUUGUCAUUUGAGAGUUCUACUUUACUCCUUUUCCCCAAAUCUACUUC
This 2310-nucleotide long non-coding RNA is filed under the name Callithrix jacchus (white-tufted-ear marmoset). RNAcentral's name for it is "lncRNA (ENSCJAG00000085804.1)". The record is from RNAcentral. Lineage: Eukaryota; Metazoa; Chordata; Mammalia; Primates; Cebidae.